UACGAGGGGGGCGAGCGUUGUUCGGAAUUAUUGGGCGUAAAGGGCGCGUAGGCGGCCGCCUAAGUCAGACGUGAAAUCCCUCGGCUCAACCGGGGAACUGCGUCUGAUACUGGGUGGCUUGAAUCCGGGAGAGGGAUGCGGAAUUCCAGGUGUAGCGGUGAAAUGCGUAGAUAUCUGGAGGAACACCGGUGGCGAAGGCGGCAUCCUGGACCGGCAUUGACGCUGAGGCGCGAAAGCCAGGGGAGCAAACGGG
Molecule: ribosomal RNA, 253 nt
Filed under: uncultured bacterium
Lineage: Bacteria
Description: partial 16S ribosomal RNA
Rfam family: Bacterial small subunit ribosomal RNA
Source: RNAcentral